RNAcentral lists this unclassified non-coding RNA (330 nucleotides) under soil metagenome. RNAcentral describes it as "partial contains 5.8S ribosomal RNA, internal transcribed spacer 2, and large subunit ribosomal RNA". The stretch from base 1 to 120 matches the Rfam family "5.8S ribosomal RNA", at positions 35 to 154 of the family's 154-position model. The record is from RNAcentral.
GAUGAAGAACGCAGCGAAAUGCGAUAAGUAAUGUGAAUUGCAGAAUUCAGUGAAUCAUCGAAUCUUUGAACGCACAUUGCGCCCCUUGGUAUUCCGGGGGGCAUGCCUGUUCGAGCGUCAUUUCAACCCUCAAGCUUCUGCUUGGUCUUGGGCCGUGCCGGCAACGGCUGGCCUUAAAACUAGUGGCGGUGCCAUCGAGCUCUACGCGUAGUAAUUCUAUCUUGCGUCUGGGCUUCGGUGGACGCUGGCCAGCAACCCCCAAUUUUCUAUGGUUGACCUCGGAUCAGGUAGGGAUACCCGCUGAACUUAAGCAUAUCAAUAAGCGGAGGA